AGCGACGCCGGGGCCUGGAGAGCGACGGCGCGGGACCAGCGAAAGGUUGUAUGAAAAACCGAAGGCAUCUGGUUACAAAAAGGAGCAUCAGUCCAAGACGGAGAGGGAGCAGGGCCAGUUACAAACUGCACAGAGUUCAUGGCAAAAUGAAAAGAUUUUAGAUAGAGCAGUUCAUUGCUUUUGGAGUGUGUUUUCUGAAGCUCGAUGAGGAUCCC
This is a long non-coding RNA of Suricata suricatta (meerkat), 215 nucleotides long. RefSeq lists it as uncharacterized. The record is from RefSeq and is a predicted model, not a curated record. The transcript has 3 exons. Lineage: Eukaryota; Metazoa; Chordata; Mammalia; Carnivora; Herpestidae.